Molecule: ribosomal RNA, 468 nt
Filed under: uncultured bacterium
Lineage: Bacteria
Description: partial 16S ribosomal RNA
Rfam family: Bacterial small subunit ribosomal RNA
Source: RNAcentral
GACGAACGCUGGCGGCGUGCUUAACACAUGCAAGUCGAACGGAAAGGCCCUGCUCUUGUGGGGUGCUCGAGUGGCGAACGGGUGAGUAACACGUGAGUAACCUGCCCUUGUCUUUGGGAUAACUUCAGGAAACUGGGGCUAAUACCGGAUAGGAGCUCCUGCUGCAUGGUGGGCGUUGGAAAGUUUCGGCGGUUGGGGCUGGACUCGCGGCUUAUCAGCUUGUUGGUGGGGUAGUGGCUUACCAAGCCUUUGACGGGUAGCCGGCCUGAGAGGGGGAACGGCGACAAUGGGACUGAGAUACGGCCCAGACUGGUACGGGAGGCAGUAGGCGGGAAUAUUGCACAAUGGGCGCAAGCCUGAUGCAGCAACGCCGCGUGCGGGAUGACGGGCUUCGGGUUGAAAACCGCUUUCGCCUGUGACGAGGCGUGAGUGACGGUAACGGGUAAAGAAGCACCGGCUAACUACGUG